UCCUAAGGUAGCGCGUAAUUUGCUUUCCAAUUGAAGGAUGGUAUGAAAGGGUUAACGAAGAAGGUGCUGUGUCUAAAAAUUCAAUUUAAACUAACUUUAAGGUGAAGAGGCCUUUAUGUAAAAGAAGGACGACAAGACCCUAUGAAGCUUUAUCUUAAUUGGAGCUCUCAGGCUCUUAUACGAUUUUGAUGGGAGAUCAGUAGAAAUAAAUCUUCUACUAUCAUAUUAAUCUUACUAGUAUUUCCUAACUUUAUAUGUGUGGCUAGCUACUCUAGGGAUAACAGCGCAAUUUCUCCCGAAAGAUGGUAUUGGAGGGGAAGAUUGCGCCUCGAUGUUGGCUUUAGAUAUCCUAGAGGCGUAGAAGCUUCUGAU
RNAcentral lists this ribosomal RNA (372 nucleotides) under Mytilus sp. FA1. RNAcentral's name for it is "partial 16S ribosomal RNA". It matches the Rfam family "Bacterial large subunit ribosomal RNA", at positions 1949 to 2569 of the family's 2925-position model. The record is from RNAcentral. Lineage: Eukaryota; Metazoa; Mollusca; Bivalvia; Mytilida; Mytilidae.